RNAcentral lists this ribosomal RNA (522 nucleotides) under Triticum aestivum (bread wheat). RNAcentral describes it as "partial small subunit ribosomal RNA". Lineage: Eukaryota; Viridiplantae; Streptophyta; Magnoliopsida; Poales; Poaceae. The record is from RNAcentral.
AUGAAGGCGUUGGGGCUGCGUGAAGAGGAUCUAGACGACGUCGUGUUCGAUGAGAAAGAUGAUCCACCUGCGGCUGCUCGUUGGAUAGCGCUGGCUAGGGUUCAUACAGCAAAAACCUAUAGCCAGACUUGGUUCUAUAAAAAUAUGAGGGCUGCUUGGGAUUUGGCGCAGGAAGCUAAAUUCAGGCCGCUGGAAGACAAUCUUUACACCAUCCAGUUCACAUGUUUGGGAGAUUGGGAAAGAGUUAUGCAGGACGGACCAUGGCACUUCCGAGGCGAUGCCGUGAUCAUCAAGGAAUAUGAUGGGGUGACUAAACCCUCAACCAUCAAUCUCGACAUCAUGGAGAUUUGGAUCCAAAUCCAUGACGUCCCUAAUCUAUAUGCUCACCUAGUUUCUCCGUUGGCGGCAAAAGUAGGCGAGGUUCUGUUUGCCGAGCCCCCAUCUCAGGAUUUCCCUGGUAUUUCUAUCGUGUGUGGAUCAGAAUUAAUGUCACCAAACCUCUCGAGAAUGCAGUGUCCCUGA